GUGGGGAAUUUUGGACAAUGGGCGCAAGCCUGAUCCAGCAAUGCCGCGUGCAGGAAGAAGGCCUUCGGGUUGUAAACUGCUUUUGUACGGAACGAAAAGGCUCUGGUUAAUACCUGGGGCUCAUGACGGUACCGUAAGAAUAAGCACCGGCUAACUACGUGCCAGCAGCCGCGGUAAUACGUAGGGUGCAAGCGUUAAUCGGAAUUACUGGGCGUAAAGCGUGCGCAGGCGGUUUUGUAAGACAGAGGUGAAAUCCCCGGGCUCAACCUGGGAAUUGCCUUUGUGACUGCAAGGCUGGAGUGCGGCAGAGGGGGAUGAAUUCCGCGUGUAGCAGUGAAAUGCGUAGAUAUGCGGAGGAACACCGAUGGCGAAGGCAAUCCCCUGGGCCUGCACUGACGCUCAUGCACGAAAGCGUGGGGAGCAAACAGGAUUAGAAACCCUGGUAGUCC
This 449-nucleotide ribosomal RNA is filed under the name uncultured bacterium. Its description in RNAcentral is "partial 16S ribosomal RNA". It matches the Rfam family "Bacterial small subunit ribosomal RNA", at positions 354 to 796 of the family's 1533-position model. The record is from RNAcentral.